UACGGAGGGGGCAAGCGUUACUCGGAAUUAUUGGGCGUAAAGGGCGCGUAGGCGGCUAGAUGUGUCAAAGGUGAAAUCCCUCGGCUCAACUGAGGAACUGCCUUUGAAACUGUCUGGCUUGAGGCCGGGAGAGGGUAGCGGAAUUCCCAGUGUAGCGGUGAAAUGCGUAGAUAUUGGGAAGAACACCGGAGGCGAAGGCGGGUUGCUGGGCCAACACUGACGCUGAGGCGCGAAAGCCAGGGGAGCAAACGGG
Molecule: ribosomal RNA, 253 nt
Filed under: uncultured bacterium
Lineage: Bacteria
Description: partial 16S ribosomal RNA
Rfam family: Bacterial small subunit ribosomal RNA
Source: RNAcentral